Long non-coding RNA from Amphiprion ocellaris (clown anemonefish), 420 nucleotides. NCBI's taxonomy places the organism in Eukaryota, Metazoa, Chordata, Actinopteri, Pomacentridae. The record is from Ensembl.
CGAUGGUUCACCUGCUGCUCGGUCUGUGGCUUUCUGUCAGAUUCAGAGUAAUAGAAGAGUCGGAGAAAGCUGAGAGCGACGAGUCGAAACACUCAGGAGACACACAGGAGAGUUUGGGAGGCGAUGCAGCAGUAUCAAGCCGAAGACAAGAGGAUAUGAACUAGACGACAUAUGAGGAUGCUCUCUGAUGAGACUUCAUGGGAUUUACCUGAAGCAGCAGCACAUGAGCCUGCAGUGGCACAAGGUGUAGAGAAGGAGGACAGAGAUGUACAGGAUGCACUGAUGCACUACCCUGCUAGAAGUUCUGUUGGUGGUCACACUAAAAAGUCAUCGCUCUAGGUCAGUGUUUCUCAACUAGUGGGGUGCACCCCCCUGGGGGGGCGCAGAGGCAUGUCAGGGGGGGCGCAGGCAACUGGGAGG